This is a small nuclear RNA of Chlorocebus sabaeus (green monkey), 62 nucleotides long. Its record names the gene U7. It matches the Rfam family "U7 small nuclear RNA". Rfam says of the family: Animal histone pre-mRNAs are spliced by a different mechanism than nuclear pre-mRNAs and self-splicing introns. This processing involves the U7 snRNP, which contains only one RNA species: U7. The record is from Ensembl. Lineage: Eukaryota; Metazoa; Chordata; Mammalia; Primates; Cercopithecidae.
AAGUGGUACAAUUCUUUUAGAAUUUGUCUGGCAGGUCUUCUUGUUUUUACUGGAAAAUCCUC